RNAcentral lists this ribosomal RNA (398 nucleotides) under uncultured bacterium. RNAcentral describes it as "bacterial SSU rRNA". It matches the Rfam family "Bacterial small subunit ribosomal RNA", at positions 28 to 428 of the family's 1533-position model. The record is from RNAcentral.
GACGAACGCUGGCGGCGUGCUUAACACAUGCAAGUCGAGCGGUAAGGCCCUUUCGGGGGUACGACGAGCGGCGAACGGGUGAGUAACACGUGGGUGACCUGCCCUCAGCUCUGGGAUAAGCCUGGGAAACUGGGUCUAAUACUGGAUAUGACUCCACGGUGCAUGUCGUGGGGUGGAAAGCCUUGUGCGGCUGAGGAUGGGCCCGCGGCCUAUCAGCUUGUUGGUGGGGGUGANGGCCUACCAAGGCGACGACGGGUAGCCGGCCUGAGAGGGCGACCGGCCACACUGGGACUGAGACACGGCCCAGACUCCUACGGGAGGCAGCAGUGGGGAAUCUUGCGCAAUGGGCGAAAGCCUGACGCAGCGACGCCGCGUGAGGGAUGACGGCCUGGUUGUAA